This 274-nucleotide ribosomal RNA is filed under the name uncultured bacterium. Its description in RNAcentral is "partial 16S ribosomal RNA". It matches the Rfam family "Bacterial small subunit ribosomal RNA", at positions 28 to 295 of the family's 1533-position model. The record is from RNAcentral.
GAUGAACGCUAGCGGCAGGCUUAAUACAUGCAAGUCGAGGGGCAGCAGGUCCCGCAGCAAUGCGGGAUGCUGGCGACCGGCAAACGGGUGCGGAACACGUACACAACCUUCCUUUAAGCGGGGAAUAGCCCGGGGAAACCCGGAUUAAUACUCCAUAGUAUAUUGAAAAGGCAUCUUUUAAUAUUAAGAUUAUCACUUAAGAUGGGUGUGCGGCUGAUUAGGUAGGUUGGCGGGGUAACGGGCCCACCAAGCCUACGAUCAGUAACUGGUGUGA